RNAcentral lists this long non-coding RNA (357 nucleotides) under Pan troglodytes (chimpanzee). Its description in RNAcentral is "long non-coding RNA NONPTRT012087". Lineage: Eukaryota; Metazoa; Chordata; Mammalia; Primates; Hominidae. The record is from RNAcentral.
CCUCCUAUAUUUGUUCCGGAGACGAGAGACGAUGGUGUGCAUGAUGACCUCUUCAAAGCCCAGUGGUCACUAGGUCCUCGUCACUCCUCCAUGUGUGCACCCCACACAGGGAAAUGAAACAGAAAGGAGAUAUGUUUUGGGAGCUGUCCAAGGAGACUUGCUGCGGGGCUGGAUGGGAGAGGACCCUGAAAACCCCCAAAGCAGGAGUAACAGCUAACACUUAUUGACUGGAAUCUGAGCUCACUAAGAGCCUCCAUCCUGGAGUUGCUGGCUCUGUCACCACUGAGAUGAGUCUGCAUGUCCUGCAGUUUUGACUUCAAACCAACAUCUGUGGUCAGCUCUCCACUCCCUGCCAAU